CAUCUGGAUAUUCUCUAAGUUUAAAGACCUGACUAGCUGAUGCCACUGUUGCCAUCCAUGAGGCUGCUUCUCUGGUGUAUGGUGGGCAUUUGUUGCCGUUUGUGUUUUGGCUGCUCCCAGCUUCCAGCACCUGUCCUCUCUGGGGCGAACUCACCCCCUUCCCCCAUGUGAUCUUGGUGGGAGGCAGGAUCCAUCAGGUCCCUGGAGUUGAAGGUGCCAGGUGCUCUUUCUCCGCACCCUGCAGAGCUUCCAGGUGUUCUCUCCUGGCCCCGGCACCUGCGGGCUCCGACCUGUGAGGGAGAAGGGACAGCAACAGAAGAGAAUGGAUUCGCAGCUCUGGCAGCGGCGCCAAGAGACCACCGUGCGGGCCGCAGUCUCAGCAGUGAUGUGGCCGUGGCUCGCCUUGGGGCCUGCUGGUGUCCCCAGCGUGGUUCCCGGCCUCCCACUGACAGUGUUUGCGAGGGUCUUCACGUCCUCUCGGUCUGGCUGCCCCUGGAGUCCGUACAGAACCGAACACCUUUUAACUGAGGAGAAGCAAUUCUGACCUCACUGUCGUCAUCAUCAUGAGUUUUCAUUUUAAAAAGUAACUCCCUCCUCAGGGGCACCUGGGUGGCUCAGUGGUUCAGAAUCUGCCUUCAGCCCAGGGCAUGAUCCUGGAGUCCCAGGAUCGAGUCCCACAUCGGGCUCCCUGCAUGGAGCCUGCUUCUGCCUCUGCCUGUGUCUCUGCCUCACUCUGUGUGUGUCUCUCAUGAAUAAAUAAAAUCUUAAAAAAAAUUAACUCCUUUACAUAUACUCUCAUUU
Molecule: long non-coding RNA, 801 nt
Filed under: Canis lupus familiaris (dog)
Lineage: Eukaryota; Metazoa; Chordata; Mammalia; Carnivora; Canidae
Description: lncRNA (ENSCAFG00040007393.1)
Source: RNAcentral